GCCACCGCAAGUCACCAGACCAAGCCAGUUGUCACUGUUGGGGUUUGCUCCUCCGGCCACAGUGGUUGCCGACUGGAAGGAGAAUGUUCUUUGAUUCGGGAAGGAGACGUAAGUCCUCUAUUUUGUGAAAGAAGAGAGAAGAGGAAGAAGAAAGGAAGAAGGAAGAAAAAGAAAAAAAGAGAAGAAAAAAUGUGAAAAAAAAGAAGGAAGAGAAAAAAAGGGGGCCAGAGGGAAAGCCAAUCUUUUGUGAAAUCGUCCCAUU
This 262-nucleotide long non-coding RNA is filed under the name Elaeis guineensis (African oil palm). Its description in RNAcentral is "long non-coding RNA (EGUI_LNC048701)". Lineage: Eukaryota; Viridiplantae; Streptophyta; Magnoliopsida; Arecales; Arecaceae. The record is from RNAcentral.